CAGGUCAUGACUCCAGGGUUGUGGGAUCGAGCCCUGUGACUAGCCUGCUUAAGAUUCUCUCCUUCUCUCUCCCAGACUCUCUCUCAACAACAAACAAAAUUUCAGAAAGUCUCUUAGCAUCCACUACUCUACAAUAGCUUACACUGUAUUUGAAUAUCAUAUAAAUUACUCAUUUUCUCUACCAGAAAAUCCGAUGUUGAAUAUUUGCAAGUGCCAGUGCACAAGUCUUGUGUUUUUUCAAAGGGUAAUUACCCACAGAGUGGGACUGGUCCCUUUUCAACAUUCUUUGUAUUGCCUUUUGCCCAGUUUUUCUGUGCAAAUUUAGUACAUACGGUAUUUUAAUACACACAUGCAUUCUGGUUUACUUAAGGAAGUCUCAAAGAUAGUGUAAAUUCUUCAUUGGCUUGGCUAUUUCUGGCUCUUUUGUUUUUUUGGUCUAAGUGAGUAGUUCCCCUCUGUUUCUACUACUCUUCCUUCCCGUGAAAUGAGAAUGGAGAUCCCUGUAACUCAAGCAUCCCCAGAUUUUCGGGUGAAAGUUGUGUAUCUUUAUAGCAAUGGUACUUUUAAAGUCAUCCAAUUAACUAAAGAAACAAGGAUGAUUAAGAUUUGUAGACACUUAGGAGCAUCGUUGCUACUAUAAACGAGAACUGUUUUCACUGCAAAAAAGGGAUCACUCUGUAGGCUCCAAAUUAUUGCUAGACAACAAUAUUCUACAAGGCUACCGUUCAUCCAAGAGGGCUUUGCAUUUUCAAGAGAAAAAUUGUUUAUCCUUUCAUCUUAUUUAGGCCACCAGAGUAUGAUUUGGGGACUCUUUGCAAAGACCUCUUCCAUAGGAAUCCUGGCUAAAACUUCCAAAAAUUUUUAAGUUUUUCUUUUCUUUGAGAGGAAAAGUACAAGUGAGAGAGAGGCAGAGAGCGAGAGGCACCGAAUCCGAAGCGGGCUCUGAGCUGUCAGCACAGGGCUCGAACCCACAAACUGGGAGAUCAUGGCCUGAGCCGAAGUCAGAUGCUUAACCGACUGAGCCACCCAGGCACCCCUAAAAAUUCCCAAUGUGAAGCUCUCAAUUGGCUCAUGUCCCAGGAGUCCAGGGUAAUUUGGGUGUAGGGCUGCCUAGAGGCAGAAGGGUGGAGUUAGUCGACCUUUGUCGAGUCUAACCUUUCAAGAUGUUGUACGCAGUCUGAACACAACGCAGAGAUGGGGAGCAGUAGACGUGGUCGAUAAUGGUGUUGCUCUCUAAUAAGGCUUCACCUGCAAAGGAAGGCAGACCGUUUGCUGGAUUCACUCAGCCUCAGCUGGACCUCCGUGGGGGAGGGGGUGGCGGGCAGAGCCUGCGAACCCCUUUUUCAGCGGGGGCUCACACAGAGCCGGCAGUAUCAGCCUCGUUUCUGGCCCAUCCCCUCAUCUGUGUUCCCAUGAAAGAGCCCCAGUGGCAAGACCCCCCGCCUCGUCUUUUUCUCUCCUUCUCUCUGGUGUUAACGAGCAGCAACUUACCCAUCUAGGAGAGACCCCGAAACCUGACCGUGCUCUGAUUUGCCACUUGUGAUGUAAGCGAGAUGGUUUCUAUUGUGACCGUUAGGUCUUGUUUCACACUUGUCCCGUGCCGAACAAGAUCUCAACCUGUCAUAGUCUUAUUAGAGAACAGAGGUAGAUCCCAACACCUGCUGCUUCCACACUUCCUCACAGAACACGCUUCUUUUCUCUACUGGAUAAAGUCUAGAUGCCUUAAUAUGGGGGGCAAGGUCUUCCGUAAACUUGUCUUUAUCCGCGUCACCAACCUUCUCUCCUGUGUGGCUCACAAGCCAUGUUCUAGAAAAUGAGAGCUUUUUCCUAAGUACUUUUGAUAUUAUUUCUCACAUCUAUGACUUCAUUUUUCUCCCCUCUUGGGAACACACUUCCCACCUUCCUGCUCUUUCUCUACCCAGCUGACUUCCCUUCUCUUUGUGUGUGUGUGUGUGUGUGUGUGUGUUUUAAUGCUCCCAUAUUACUCUGUACACAGUUCUAUUCCUGACGAUACCAGACCGUACAAGUUUGUUCCCCUGAGGGCGGGGACUCUGCUUGCGUCCCCAGCACCUAGCAAAGGACCUCGCCCCAAGUGAUCAGUGAAUAUGUUAAAUGAUUGAACAGGACAAGGCUGCUGUCUCUGCCUGGCAGGUAUGGAACAGACCUGCAAAGAAUGGACCGUCUUCAAAGGAUCAGUUGGCCUGUCUACAUCCAGCCACUCCAGGAUUCUCCUCCCCUGCGCAGUAGACGCUGACCUUGCCCCAUCCCUGGGCCACACAGCCCUCAAGGGGUCACACCUGCUUCACUUUGGUAAACCGGCCUAGCGCCCCAGCACAGUGUCCUGAACUUAAUGGUUAUGUAAUAAAUCCCUUCGGAAUUGGAGAAAUACACUACUUGUAGGAAAGUUGGAGGAAGCCCUGGGAAGUGUCCUGGCCUGCCCACUGGAACCAGUCUUUGGAAGGAGCAGCCAAGAGAGGCUGUGCAAUCACCCCAGGACACUCACCCACCAGUCUUGCUUGCAUACAUCCAAACACGGUGAUCGGAGCGUCUUUCUCAUAGUCCCGGAAACCACCACUCCGCUGAGGACUUCUGUUGCUGAUCCCGACAGCCCUCCACUUCCAUUCCUUGUUUGGCCAAAGACACCGAACUGAACUUUCUAGAAACUAUUGAGGCUGACGCUUUUUCUGUGGUAGAGUCUUGGAAUCCACCCCUCCGUUCUACUGACAGAAAACUACCUCUUGCCACGUCUGUGUGAAAGUAACAACCAUACACUGUAAGGCAGGAGACUUCUGUGCUACGCCGGCCUCCUUCUCUUGGACAUGUCACUCAAAGGGAACCAAAAUGAGCCAGGGUGAUUUAAUGGAGGGAAUUCUGGCCACAGGAUCAGGACACCUGUCUCUGCCUCCGCCAAAUGACCACGGGCGAGACAUUGGUUUCUUUGGUCCCUGGUGUCCCAGUUUAUGGAAUAGGGGACAAGAACACUUACCUCUUCGCUAACACUCAAGACAAUCGGGAAGGACUUAGAUUGUAACACAUUCUAGGCAUUUCCUAUAUAGCACGGGAACCAGGAAGGACUCCCGGCUAGAUAAAUGUAGCUUGACUGUGCCCCCUAGAGGCCAUAAAAGGUACGCCGGCGCUAAGCAGGCCAACGCAGCACUCACCUUUGGCAUCAAAGCACUGGGAUAGCCAGUACUUCCCAAACACAACAUCCAUCCUCUCACCGUGCCGACACACAAAGAGGCAUCUCUUCUGAGGGCCAGGCUGGCUAUUGACCCUCAGGGGCUGCAGAGCAAGAAAGGCCAUUAGUAGGGGAGUGGGGGGAAGCACAGAAGAAAACGGACACGUCCUGGAGCCAGGUGUCAGAUGAGCAGAACUGAGCUCUAGGACAAGGGCCCCGCAACGAUCUUGGAUUAACGUUGGCAGGUCUGUAACACAGUGGGGGCAGGAAGACGCCUCCUACAGACCUCACAAGUUAGUCUGAGGCUCAGAUGAGAUGAAUGGCACGCGUUCUGCAAAAUCAGAAGGGCUGUGAAAAUUGCCUCACCGUUGCGGUUGCCGGUGUGGGACUAGCAUUUGGCCGGUAGGGGAAUGGGCAGACCACUCGGGCUACCGCUCAGAGGUACCUCCAGCCAGUACAUGCCUCUAGUCAUCUAGCCCCCCUCUACAGGGAUACUUCAUCAACUUCAGAGGGCGAGGACUGUUAAUCACAACAGUGCCUGCCUCCCCUCUAACACAUGGUGGGUAGACCGAAUGGACGGUCUCCUCCAGCAACGAGGUUCUUCUCUGGCUAUUCUAAUCGUACUUUUGGCUCUCUUGUCUGGCUACACGCGCGUUGGUGUUCCCGGAAGUGGUUCAGGGAGGUCAGCGGUGACGAAAUAGGCCAGUCUAGUCAAAGGCGUGUCCAAAUGACCUUGGGUUCUGGAAGUGCUGGGUGGAUCCUUCCACAUGUUUCUAUAUUCCUUCCUUCUGAUGGUCAGCUAUUCCCCGUUUGCUUCGUGUGGUCACCUUCAUGUGGGCUGGUACUUUACACGUGCUGCCCAUUAGUUGCCCCGACAGGGUUAAUAGGUGGGAUAAUGGCAUGAUCUUUCCUGUUUCUUCUCCUGCUCGUCCCUAAUUCAGGCCCUGGGCUCCUGCCAAUGUGAUCUAGUCUCUUGAUCCUCCACUUGCCUUUGCCUCUCUUGUUCCAAACGAUCCCCACCCCCACAUUCUCCAUUUUGCAACAUUUCUGGCAUCUGUUGAGCACUCAGACAUACAUACAGGUGCCAGGCACUGUGCCGAGGGCCUUAUUUUCUUUUUAAUCUCACGACGGCCUAUGAAACAGAACUAUUACGACUUUACAGGUAACAUGUCCUUCCCUCUGUAGAACCUCUUCCUCUGCCAGCCUAGACCCAGAUGCCGGUAGGUGCGAUCAGUACCACCCACCCGACUCUCCCUGGCCUUAAAUUCUGUGUGUCUUUCAUAAAAUUGUGCGUCGUCGCCCCCAAGAGACCUAGGACCCUUGGGGGCACCAAGUGCAAGCCCUCACACUCCGCAAAGACGUGCUCAGUGAAUCCUGAAGUAGAGUCGAGGAUGCGGCCCCAAUGGUCAGCCUUACCUGCGUGGGCUGGCAGAUGAUAGUCAGGGGAGCCGUCUCCCCCAGGCCCUGGUCCUCAUACUGCCGUCUGUCCACCACACCAUCGCCAAAUGAGAGGGCGUUAGAAGACGCCGUGUUCAGGAUGGAGUGAGAACUGUAGGGGAAGAUGAGGACGCCAUUAACUGUUUGGGCCAGGAGUCAUUAGCACGUCACCCUUGGGCUCAAGGGGGAGCGUGGGAAUUCGCGGGAAACACGCCCAGGGCGACGGGUGGGAAAGCCGAGGAGGCGACACCCCCUUUCGGGAGGGGAACAGCUUGUUCUCUACUUAGGUCUUGCAGUGGCUAAACUAGGGGAAGAUGGAUUUCUGUACUUGGAACAGAUGUGUUCGUCUCUCUGGGUAGGGAUGGGGCCCUGAGUUCGUGCCAAUCAGGAUGCCACCGCCGCGGCUGGCGCCGAAGGCAUGUUAAAGAAUAAUGAGUUUCCAAUUUUGGGCCAUUGUUUCCAGCUAUUUUUCUGGCUCCAAAGAAGAAAACAAUUCCUGUUGCCUUUAAUCUUCUCCAUGGCGAUUUCCAUCCGAACUGACAAACGAGAGGGAGGAUUUGUACCGUCUCCACCAGUGUGCCUGUGGCUCUUCACUGAUGGAGGAAACCCGAUGGCCAUCAUCCUCUCUUCCACCUUCUUCGGUGGCCCCACCCCCUCCCCAACUCAGUAACACCUCCAGCACGAUGAUUAAACACAGAAUUCUUUCGGAGGAAGCCGUUCUCGCCAGACGUAUGGAGCCGUGGGCCAAGAGCUCUCAUUUCUGGAUUUUACACCGUAGCUACAGAAGCCCCAAAGAGGCCUCGCUGACAGCGAGGCAGCAAAUUAUGCCAUGUUUGCGUUACUGUGAUUAGUAAGUCCUCCAAAAGGCUUUAUCUAAUAAACACUGCAAUUCAACUACGGUCGCAAGGCGAA
Long non-coding RNA from Felis catus (domestic cat), 5527 nucleotides. RefSeq lists it as uncharacterized. The record is from RefSeq and is a predicted model, not a curated record. Lineage: Eukaryota; Metazoa; Chordata; Mammalia; Carnivora; Felidae. The transcript has 2 exons.